GCUGUUAUAAACACUGCUACGGUCUUCGUUCUGCUCUUUUUCAAAUUUCAAUUAUUCCAAGUGGGUUAAUCAAACAAGUAACAGGCACGUGUAACUGUUAGCACGUGCAAUUUGUAGUUGCUUAGCUCAAAGAACAUGACAUUAUUAUAUCAGGCCACGACCAAAUACAUAUAUGGCCUUGGUCACAACCAAACCAAAUCUUUUUUACUCGAUCCAUUAGCAAUCCAUUUGCAAAGGUAGUGAAAAGGAAAAAAAUAAAACGCUGGUAUGACCCAACUACUUACUGUUCGAGGGCAAUAUUUAUGUUAUGUAUGGAUGACUUUCCUGUUGAAAGGACUAAGUGCAGCUGAUGAAGUUCCCAGUAGCGGAGAGGAUGUCUAUGAUUUCCUGAUGAGCAGCAUCGAACACAUGAUCGGCACCACAGGGCCGUGCUCGUGGCUGGGACCGUCCCACCAGGUGCUCCACUACACGCUCAACUGCGUCGACUGCUGGUGUGACCAGCAGCUGGGCCGCUACCAGUGUCACGAGGCGCGCCAGUGCGACACCAGCCUGUGGCCCGUCAAACGGCCCCUCAUCACCUGAUGACGCCCGACCCGGGAGGGGUCAGAGUGGACAAACAUCUCCCAGCACGAGGAUCUCAGAUCGGCGCCAGCUCACAGCUAACGACUGUUGCUAUUGGAAUAAAUAGCCCGAGCGAGUGCGGCUUUUACGCAGCGCCAAUGCGUGGUAUGUGUGUUAAUGUGUAUAUGUGGGAGGGGGAGGGGGAGAGGGAUGUGCCCGUUAUUAUUUCUCAUCGACAAAAUAUAUCAUGCUAUUUGAACAUCUA
Molecule: long non-coding RNA, 826 nt
Organism: Amphibalanus amphitrite
Lineage: Eukaryota; Metazoa; Arthropoda; Thecostraca; Balanomorpha; Balanidae
Exons: 2
Source: RefSeq, a predicted model, not a curated record